This 6343-nucleotide unclassified non-coding RNA is filed under the name Leishmania donovani. Its description in RNAcentral is "gene:LdHU3.30.3290(CDS-product:hypothetical_prote in_conserved)". Lineage: Eukaryota; Euglenozoa; Kinetoplastea; Trypanosomatida; Trypanosomatidae. The record is from RNAcentral.
AUGAGCGGGCCCAUCAAUCAUCAUCUCUACCGCUCCCCCUAUGAGAGCCUUUUUUCUUCAUUCUGCGCCCCUCCUCCCCUCUUUUCCUCUUUCUGCUAGCGCUGAUCACGACAACGAGCGUGUGUGUGUGUGUGUGUGGCGCUUCAUCUAGAGAAGCCGCGCGGAUUCCGUCACUGUUUCUUACUUUGUGGUUGUUUCGAUUGCACACGCCCACCCACCUGCAGCACACUUUGCCAGGCGUCUGUCUUCUGCGUGCCCGUUUCGAUUUCGCUCUUGCUCUCUCCCCGUGAGCGUCGAAUGUACAUUUACGUAUGCAUUGUGUGAACGCACGCCGCCACGUCGCCCCCGUAUUCGCUUCUCGUCCCCACCCCUUUCUCCGUAGAAGACAACCCUUACCGGAGAAAAGGGCGAGCGGCUUCCUUUGUUUGCUGUUGACCAGUGCUUUCUUGCGUGUAUGCGUGUGCUUGUAUGCUCCGUCUCUCUCUCCUCUCUUUGUGACCAUCAGAGUAACGGAAAGGCUGUCACCCCCCUCAUCUUACCCGUCUCUCAGCUAACGCGUCUGUCCGGUAUCCUCUAGUCGAUUGAUUGCAGUGGCCCCCCAUCCCCCUCUCUCCCUCUCUCAUUGUUAAAGACACAUAGAUACGACCCCCUUUUUGUGUGUGUGUGUGCUCUUUCUCAUCAUACAUAUUUAGCCUGCCUUCUUGUUUUUUCUACGCCUCCUUUCUUCUAUGUUGUGUGCUGAAGGAGUUAGGAGGCACUGAAAUCUGCAUCUCUCAUUGGUUUAUGGCAGGCGAUCGAGAAAGACACGUCGCGGUAUUCGUUGUUGUUUUCCCUUUUUGAACUUGUUUUUUCUCUCUCCACCACCGCCACAAACAUCACCUCUCUUUUCCCUUUAGCCUUCGUCAGCAGCAACUGCAGACGUAUUUUUGUGUCACACCACAUCUAAACCGCACAGUCACGCUCUCGGCCACCGUGUUCGUGGCUCCUGUCGCUCUUUUCGUCUUAUCUUUGUUUUGUGUGCGUCUGUGUCUGCGACUGUGUGUGUGUGUGUGUGUUUGCGCGCUCCCUGCUGCCUCACCUCUUCUUUUUCUUUUGUGUUGUUUCGUGCUUGUUGGGCCCACUCCCCAUGUCCCCCCCCCACCCUUCCCUUCCCUCCCCCGGUGCAUAUUUCACUCCAUUGAUCUAUCGUUGUCGUCAAAGCAACGUCAUCGCGCACUCCGCAUUUGCUCUCGCCUCCAUACACAACUCCCCGCCCAUCACGUAGCGCUGCGCGUCUGACUGUCUGUCCGUCUAGGGUGGGCUGCUUUUUCACCCAUCACUCUUCUGCUUCUCGACGAUCGACGUGACUCUUCUUCCUUGUCGCUCUUUUCUUUUUCCGCCUUUUCUUUUUUCCCUCUUUUUGUUGUGUCGUGGGGCGUGGUGGCCGUCGCUUGUUUUUUUUUUUAGAGGUGGCUUGUCGGCCUCCGUUUUGUGUCUCGUUUCUUUCUGUUGUGGCGUUCUGUCUGUGUAUGGUUUUCCCUCUGCUCGCUGUCCCUUGCGUGCACCCGGCUUCCUCCCCUUCUCUCCGUCCCUUCGCCUGUCUCUUUGGGGAGGCUUUCUAUAGACUGUUUGAUUACUUGUAUAUCUCUAUCUGUCUGCACCGCUGCUCUGCUUCUGUACGGUGGCCUUUCUGUCUGUCUGUUCGUUUUGUUUGCUCACCGCGUCGUCUGCGCUGUCUCACUGCUCCAUCUUCCCCUAAAAGCCCCUCCCCCUCCCCCUCCCCUUCCCCCAAAGACAAACCAACAACGAUCAUCAGCACUCUCGCCUCCCCCUUCCCCUACCCCCCACCCACCCCCAACACACAGACUCCCAUACACAAGCCCAACAAAGGCGCCCCUGCAAGGCAAUCAUGUUCAAGAGCUCGCUAGCCACACACAGCAGCAUCGACCAUGAUUUGUUUCCACUGCUGACGGUACGCAGCUGCGUGAGCGAAGCCGACGAGAGCAAGAAUGGGCCGCGCUUCUGCGCUGAGGACAAGAUGACCGGCGGCGCGUACGAGAUUCGUAGCCGCAAGCUUGAUUUGGAGGCGGAACAGCUCGUAGACGGCGUCGGUUGCCGAGGCACCCACCGAAACCUAUCACCGAAUGAUCUUCGCGCCAUUAGGCGGCAGCAGGAGCGGAUCGACGCCCUUCUUACUGCCACCGCCCACUGCACGGUGCCGCCGUGCGUGGCGCUGCCGAUCGACGUGUACAUUCAGGAGCAGCCGUCCACCGGUCACACCUACGUGGCAAGCGUGGACGCGUUCUCCGGGCUCUCACUGGGUGACAUCAUUCGCUCCGGCUGGGGCAUGAUGGAGGAGAGCGUGUUUCUAGAGAUUCUCAACGCCGUGGAGGCAUUCGGCUACGCGAGUGCCAGCCUGCCACCGCAUGGAAAUAUUAGCUCCGACGCUAUCAAGCAGCUGCUCAUCGUGCGCGACGGUGCCUCCGAGGCGCGGCAGCCGUCGCGGUGGGUGGUGAGCGAUUGGCUGCUGCUCAGCGACGACAGCGUUACCUCAUUUGAUCCACAGGCGUUUGUGGCUGACCUGGAGUGGGUGCUGCAUUCCUCUUUUGCGCAGCUGCACAUCUCGACGACCACCACGCAGGGGAGCACCUUCAUGCCGGCGGCUCGAGUAGAGGAGCUCGUGACUGAGACCGUUGACCGCAUUCGCGCUCAUCUGCUCCACCAAGGCGCAGAGGCACACCACACUUCCUCUGCUGACGCCUUGGCCCAGCCGUCUGACGGGGGACCACAAACGGACAUGAAGGCCUUUCAUGCGCACCUCGAUGCUUCUUCCUCCGGGGUAACUGAUGUCGACGGCGCCAGUGCGAGGCAAACCUCGGCCAGCAACGAGGAUGGCGUGCCAACCUCCUUCGAUACCACUUACGAAAACACUGCCAACUGGGCUUCCGGUGCCACAGGAAGUGCGCUUGAGUCUCAGGCUACUGCGCCGCCAUCGUCGCCUCCGCGAUCGGUCCCUGACCCUAGCACGACGACCGCGAGCACUGCUGCUGCUUCCUCGCUCAACACACUGCCAGCUGCCUCGCUGGUGAGCAACAAGAGCCAAGACUCGCGCGGCGCGGCGGAUAAGCGCGACAGCGCAAAAGAGGCCUUCCGCGUCGCUCGACAUAUGUCUCUCAAAGACAAGGUGGCCUACCAUCAAGCCGCGCUUCGCAGAGAGCAGCUUCUGGUGAACAGGCACCGUCGUAAGAACGCCCCGCUGCCGCCACGGCCCCAGCCGGUGUCGGCACAUAUACAAAACGCGCGCCCUUUCCUCUCUCCGAGCGCCUCUGAGGAGGACGAGGAGUUCUACUACGAUCCACCCGCGCUGACGUCUCCAAUCGACGUAAAGCCGAGCGCUUACUUGAUGCAGGGCCGCCGGUCCUCACCGAACAGGCGAGGCGCCGGCAGCGCUCGCAAGCUUCAGUCCCCACGCAGCGCUCGGACACUGAACGGCGAAGCGCGAACUCCGUGCGAACGCUCGCGAUCGUCGACGACACCGCCGCCGUCGCAACGGUCGCAAGCAACCUCUCACGCCUCCGCGUCUUGUGACCAGCUGCGCGAGCGUCUCUUAGAUGACGUGGUGAGCAUAGCGGUGCUGAAUCAACGCCGGAGGGCGGAGGACCAUCUUCUGCAGCAGGAAGCGGAGCGCCGCCGACGAGAACAGCGGCAGCAAGUGCUUUCUCUGUCCACACCGCCUCGCGGCGUUGCAGGCCAACGCCUUUCCACGCCAAACCUUUUGGACAAUCCCGGAGCGUCCAUCUCCUACCCUGCUGCUCCGAGCUCCCCUUCGGUAGAAGCAAAGGCUGCCGAGACCGGCGACAAUCACCGGCGGGCCUCUCGACGACGGGGCACAGCGCCAUGCGGCUCCGCCGCAAACGUGAGCCACGGCGGCAGUGCAUCACCUUCAGGUUGUUGUCUGGUUCUGACGGCGGCACCCCAUGACGCAGCUAUGAACCGCUUUGGCGAUGCAAGCAAGAGCCCUGAGCCAACGCCGCCGUCGCCACAUUGGUGCCGUAUUGUCCGCCCCACUUUCUGUGAAAACAAACCCGUUGUGAAGGCUGCGGCUGGCACACGGGUGGCACUGCCACGGGCAUCUGCGCGUGGUGCAGCUAGCACCGCCGUCGCGAGCCGAUUGCCACAGACGGCAGGCAAAACCACGGCGCCGUCACAGACAGUCUUGUACGGCCUCCGCACCGGCACGGCAUCCACCAUAGUGCGAUCGGACGCGGCCAAAAUGCCCGUUACCGCACGUGCCGCUGCGACGAUGGGAGGGGUAGCGACCGCAGCCAUGGCCAGAAAUGGUAGCAAUCUGAGCCGACAACUUGCUGCGGGCACCGUGCCUCGUUCUAGCCGUAGCACGACGACUGCUGGAAAUCGAGCGGCUUGGGCUGUCGGACAGCAACAACGCUCUGCAAGGGCGAGGGCUGCCGCGCCGCUAGUGCAGAGAAACACUCGCGCCUCAACCUCAUCGCCUCUGAGUUCCCCACGACAGAAGACGGCGCAGCAGUCGGCGGCGGCGCCCUGUGUGAAACCGCUGCCUUUUGCUUCCUUUCUUGGAUGCCUGGCGUCUCCGCGGGAGGCACCAACGUUGAUUGGUGCGAGCAGUCCGCCUGUUGCCAGCCGUGCUGCUGUAGGGCAGCUGGUACCCACACGGAGAGCCGCCGCAACGACUUCCGGCUCGCUUUCGUACUCCAACGGCUCUACUCGAAAAUACGUCAUGGAUGCAAAGUUUCAGGCGCUGCGGUGUCCCAACACUGCUCGCCCGCCCCCGACACAGCUGCGGCUUGCCGCGUCCCCGCGGGUUUACCAACGCGUGUCGUCGACCGGAGUUCUCCGCUCGCCUCGCAAUGGUGUUGGCGUCACGCCUCUUAGACAACCAUCAGCAGCUACGCCAGCCACCGCACCUCAGUCCUCGUCGUCGAUUCGCGAAGUGUCGCGUAGCGUGCUGCAAAAGCCAGCGAAGCUGGAAGCUGCCACACCUAUAGCGCUGCGCACAACGCAGCCUCGGCUACCCGUUGCCGCCGACUCCGCGUCGGCGAAGGGCCGUGCAUCCGUCAGUCGUAAACCAUUACAGCGUCUCGUGCUGCAGAAAGGCUCUCCAGGUCUCUCGGCUAGACAUGCCGACACCCUUGACACUCAGGCCACCGAUCUGCCGCCGACUUCCGCGAACGAGGAUAGCCUAACCUCACCGCACACCCCACCACCACCAUCACCACCACCCCUGGCUUCUACUAAUGCUGCUGCUGCUGCUGCUGCAGGGGCUGUACGCCGGUUUACUUGCACGGAUCCUCUGGCUCAAAGCAGUGUGGCCGAGGUUGAGAAUCACGCGCCGCGAGGCAGGAAUGCCGGAGGGUCGAGCCUGUCUCCUGGCAGCCGCUCAAUGGAAGCGUCGGCUUUUGCGACUCAGAGGGAGAAUAAAGGUAAGGCGCAUGUGGCAGGGCCGUGCGCUGAGCCGCUGACGCUGGGUAGCGUGCGCCCGGUGAAGAAAGCGUCUCCAGGUAUUCUGCUGCUGCGGCAUCGAAGCUCCACCAUGUAAUACGAGCAGCAUCUGGCAGAGGCAGAAAGCGUCCGUGCUGUGGCCACGUCUGCCCACCAUAAACGGUGUAUCUUUUUUUCUUCCUCACGGAGCGCAGGCGCACAUCUCUCUGUUCCCUUCUCCACCCCUAUUUGUGUCUGUGCGGUGCGUGUGUGUCUCUGUGACCCGGCAAGUGGUUGUGUCCGUUGCAUAGAAGAGAAAAUGUCUGGCCGGCGCAGUUUGCUCCACUUCAUGUCCGCCGCCAUUCCAGUGCUUCCUUGUCCGCCACGGAGUGGUGUCCAAAGGCGAGCACAGGGUGCAUCUGUACCUUUGCAAAGCCACGCGCACCAUAAAGCGGAGCGAGCGAGGGCGGUAUCGCCGCCGCUCUGAACCUGGUUCGAGCCGUGGCGGUUGAGUGGGAGAGUUGGGAAGGGCAGCGUGUGUGUGUGAGGGUGGGGGGCAUGAAAGCGAAUGAAGUGACGCAGGCGAUCUUUUCAGGUCGUCCCGCCGCUUGUUUUUUUCUCCUUCCUUUCGGAGGCCGCUGCAUGCGCUGAUUCACCACCUCCUCAGUUUGAACGGCGCAGGCGAAAGGCAUCUCGCAGUUUGGAACAUUACGAGGAGCGCAGCUCGAGGGGGGGGAGGCUAACUGCCAUUGGCGUGCCGCUUCGCUUUCUUCUCAUUUGAAGGACCGCGGGCCAGAGGACGCAAGGCACCCUCUGCUGCUCCUCAUAUUGCCCUGCCCUCUCUCUCUUCUCGUUGGAAGACACUUUUCCUUUCCAUCUUGCGUGCUUCUCUCUCACCGCGCAACAG